CUACGGGAGGCAGCAGUGGGGAAUUUUGGACAAUGGGGGCAACCCUGAUCCAGCCAUCCCGCGUGUGCGAUGAAGGCCUUCGGGUUGAAAAGCACUUUUGGCAGGGAAGAAAAGGCGCGGGAUAAUACCUUGCGUCGCUGACGGUACC
Molecule: ribosomal RNA, 148 nt
Filed under: uncultured bacterium
Lineage: Bacteria
Description: partial 16S ribosomal RNA
Rfam family: Bacterial small subunit ribosomal RNA
Source: RNAcentral